GAUGAACGCUGGCGGCGUGCUUAACACAUGCAAGUCGAACGAUGAAGCCCAGCUUGCUGGGUGGAUUAGCGGCGAACGGGGGAGCAACACGUGAGUAACCCCCCCUUCACACUGGGAUAAGCGAGGGAAACUGGGUCUAAUACCGGAUAGGAGCGUCCACAGCACGGUGGGUGUUGGAUAGAAUUAUCGGUUUUGGAUGGACUCGCGGCCUUUCAGCUUGUUGGUGGGGUAAUGGCUCACCAAGGCGACGCCGGGUAGCCGGCCUGAGAGGGGGACCGGCCACACUGGGACUGAGACACGGCCCAGACUCCUACGGGAGGCAGCAGUGGGGAAUAUUGCACAAUGGGCGCAAGCCUGAUGCAGCGACGCCGCGUGGGGGAUGACGGCCUUCGGGUUGUAAACCUCUUUCAGUAGGGAAGAAGCGAAAGUGACGGUACCUGCAGAAGAAGCACCGGCUAACUACGUG
RNAcentral lists this ribosomal RNA (466 nucleotides) under uncultured bacterium. RNAcentral's name for it is "partial 16S ribosomal RNA". It matches the Rfam family "Bacterial small subunit ribosomal RNA", at positions 28 to 507 of the family's 1533-position model. The record is from RNAcentral.